UUGGAGGGCAAGUCUGGUGCCAGCAGCCGCGGUAAUUCCAGCUCCAAUAGCGUAUAUUAAAGUUGCUGCAGUUAAAAAGCUCGUAGUUGAAUUUCGGGACCAUCAUGUCGGUCGUGCCUCGGUACGUACUGGUAUUGUUGGUUUCUCCCUUCUGACGAACCAUGAUGUCAUUUAUUUGGUGUUGUGGGGAAUCAGGACUGUUACUUUGAAAAAAUUAGAGUGUUUAAAGCAGGCUCACGCUUGAAUACAUUAGCAUGGAAUAAUGAAAUAGGGCGUUUGAUUCUAUUUUGUUGGUUUCUAGGAUCGACGUAAUGAUUAAUAGGGAUAGUUGGGGGCAUUAGUAUUCAAUUGUCAGAGGUGAAAUUCUUGGAUUUAUUGAAGACUAACUACUGCGAAAGCAUUUGCCAAGGAUGUUUUCAUUAAUCAAGAACGAAAGUUAGGGGAUCGAAGACGAUCAGAUACCGUCGUAGUCUUAACCAUAAACUAUGCCGACUAGGGAUCGGAUGAUGUUAAUUUUUUAAUGACUCAUUCGGCGCCUUACGGGAAAC
This 548-nucleotide ribosomal RNA is filed under the name uncultured Glomeromycotina. Its description in RNAcentral is "SSU rRNA". It matches the Rfam family "Eukaryotic small subunit ribosomal RNA", at positions 548 to 1098 of the family's 1831-position model. The record is from RNAcentral. Lineage: Eukaryota; Fungi; Glomeromycota.